CAUUAGAUGGCUGAAAGCAAAGCAUUGGUCUCUUAAACCAUUUUAUAGUACCUAGCAAUUACUUCUAAUGA
This 71-nucleotide transfer RNA is filed under the name Dendroctonus valens (red turpentine beetle). RNAcentral describes it as "tRNA-Lys". It matches the Rfam family "tRNA". Rfam says of the family: Transfer RNA (tRNA) molecules are approximately 80 nucleotides in length. Their secondary structure includes four short double-helical elements and three loops (D, anti-codon, and T loops). Further hydrogen bonds mediate the characteristic L-shaped molecular structure. tRNAs have two regions of fundamental functional importance: the anti-codon, which is responsible for specific mRNA codon recognition, and the 3' end, to which the tRNAs corresponding amino acid is attached (by aminoacyl-tRNA synthetases). tRNAs cope with the degeneracy of the genetic code in two manners: having more than one tRNA (with a specific anti-codon) for a particular amino acid; and 'wobble' base-pairing, i.e. permitting non-standard base-pairing at the 3rd anti-codon position. Lineage: Eukaryota; Metazoa; Arthropoda; Insecta; Coleoptera; Curculionidae. The record is from RNAcentral.